Molecule: non-coding RNA, 93 nt
Organism: Mycena vulgaris
Lineage: Eukaryota; Fungi; Basidiomycota; Agaricomycetes; Agaricales; Mycenaceae
Source: the annotation of a GenBank genome assembly
GACCUAGUGGUGAAAGGAUCACACCUGAAAUCAGUGACGUGGGCAACUUGGGUGAUUUGGCAGGAGUUCCCGGUUCGAUUCCGGGCUAGGUCA